GAGGAGGGAAUAGCUCUGGAUGAAGCAGCGACAACAAACACACACAAAUCCAACCCAAAACAACCCCUCCUACCCCCCAAAUAAACAAACAAACAAAAAACAUCAUCAGUGCGUAUCGUUAAAGCACAUAGAAAUCACAGCGGUUCGUAAACAUACCGCAAAGGAAGCAGAAAGGUGUGGGGAAAAUACACUGAGAAGUUGCAGGCGGCUGUGGCAGAAAGACCCCAAAUUUGCCCUAAGCGCAGGGCUGACCCUGCAGCACUUCUGCUCGCUCUGCUUAACUGGCUCCAGGUUGAACACCAACUAUGUUCAUGACUGGGAGAAAAGCGUGGAAGAAGAGUGGCACACUACAGACAUCUUUCCUAAGCACAACACUCCACUUCUAUUUACAGCUUGA
Molecule: long non-coding RNA, 397 nt
Filed under: Anas platyrhynchos platyrhynchos (common mallard)
Lineage: Eukaryota; Metazoa; Chordata; Aves; Anseriformes; Anatidae
Description: lncRNA (ENSAPLG00000016917.1)
Source: RNAcentral